This 257-nucleotide ribosomal RNA is filed under the name uncultured bacterium. RNAcentral's name for it is "partial 16S ribosomal RNA". It matches the Rfam family "Bacterial small subunit ribosomal RNA", at positions 521 to 776 of the family's 1533-position model. The record is from RNAcentral.
UUAUACGGGGGUUGCGAACGUUAUCCGGAAUUAUUGGGCGUAAAGAGAUGCGUAGGCGUUUUAUUAAGUCUUUUGUUAAAUCCUAUGGCUUACCCAUAGAAUCGCAGAGGAAACUGGUAAAAUUGAGAAAAGCAGAGGAAGAUAGAAUUCACCGAGUACUAGUGAAAUGGGUUGAUACGGUGAGGAAUACCAAUGGCGAAGGCAGUCUUCUGGGCUUUUUCUGACGCUAAGGCUCGAAAGCGUGGGGAGCAAAACGG